UGGGGAGUAGCCAAGUGGCAAGGCAGCGGGUUUUGGUUCCGCUAUACGCAGGUUCGAUUCCUGCCUCCCCAGCCA
RNAcentral lists this transfer RNA (75 nucleotides) under Acidobacteria bacterium CG_4_9_14_3_um_filter_49_7. Its description in RNAcentral is "tRNA-Gln". It matches the Rfam family "tRNA". Rfam says of the family: Transfer RNA (tRNA) molecules are approximately 80 nucleotides in length. Their secondary structure includes four short double-helical elements and three loops (D, anti-codon, and T loops). RNAcentral also lists the same sequence under 1 other name. The record is from RNAcentral. Lineage: Bacteria; Pseudomonadati; Acidobacteriota.